GGGAAGGUGGCUCAGUGGUAGAGCACUUGCCUUGUAUGCCUGAGGCCCUGGGUUCGAUUCCUCACCACCACA
RNAcentral lists this transfer RNA (72 nucleotides) under Dipodomys ordii (Ord's kangaroo rat). It matches the Rfam family "tRNA". From Rfam's summary of the family: Transfer RNA (tRNA) molecules are approximately 80 nucleotides in length. Their secondary structure includes four short double-helical elements and three loops (D, anti-codon, and T loops). Further hydrogen bonds mediate the characteristic L-shaped molecular structure. tRNAs have two regions of fundamental functional importance: the anti-codon, which is responsible for specific mRNA codon recognition, and the 3' end, to which the tRNAs corresponding amino acid is attached (by aminoacyl-tRNA synthetases). tRNAs cope with the degeneracy of the genetic code in two manners: having more than one tRNA (with a specific anti-codon) for a particular amino acid; and 'wobble' base-pairing, i.e. permitting non-standard base-pairing at the 3rd anti-codon position. Lineage: Eukaryota; Metazoa; Chordata; Mammalia; Rodentia; Heteromyidae. The record is from Rfam by way of RNAcentral.